CGGGCCCUGUUCACUGACAUGUUUACUCAUCUCACUGAGGUGGUUAUGUAGUUAUACGAUGCGAUGGAGAAGUUAUUCAGUGGUUGCCGUUGGUUCAUUAUCCUGUCAUAUUUGUUUCGUGAUUAAUUGUGGUUAUCUGAGUUGAGAUAUUUCACAUUUUGUUAUGUACAGCCCUUUUAAAGCUGAUUAUACGUAAUGUGUUCUAUCAAUUGUUGAAAACCGUGCGGUUACUUUAUGUAAUGAAAGCACAUUGAUAUCAAUUGUUACAACGAAAGAUACUUCAACAUAUUAAUUUUAAAAACAAUAUUACAAAUUUCAAACCGAUAUCGAGUUGUUGUAAACAAGCAAAGACCGUCCCCAUUUUGCGAGCGACAUGAAGAAGCAUAUUAUUAAAUUGACACCCUUUAUAAACCAUUUUUGACAGUGAUGUGAUUUUUUCAAGUCUCCAUUACAUGUAUUUUCCUGGCUAUGAAUAUGUCUAAGAUUUUUUAAAAACAUAAGAAUUCGAUUAGAUUUAAUAUGCAGAAUGAAAAGAUAAUUCAUC
Molecule: long non-coding RNA, 544 nt
Filed under: Mytilus galloprovincialis (Mediterranean mussel)
Lineage: Eukaryota; Metazoa; Mollusca; Bivalvia; Mytilida; Mytilidae
Source: RNAcentral